UUACCGAGUGCGGGUCCUUUGGGCCCAACCUCCCAUCCGUGUCUAUUGUACCCUGUUGCUUCGGCGGGCCCGCCGCUUGUCGGCCGCCGGGGGGGCGCCUCUGCCCCCCGGGCCCGUGCCCGCCGGAGACCCCAACACGAACACUGUCUGAAAGCGUGCAGUCUGAGUUGAUUGAAUGCAAUCAGUUAAAACUUUCAACAAUGGAUCUCUUGGUUCCGGCAUCGAUGAAGAACGCAGCGAAAUGCGAUAACUAAUGUGAAUUGCAGAAUUCAGUGAAUCAUCGAGUCUUUGAACGCACAUUGCGCCCCCUGGUAUUCCGGGGGGCAUGCCUGUCCGAGCGUCAUUGCUGCCCUCAAGCCCGGCUUGUGUGUUGGGUCGCCGUCCCCCUCUCCGGGGGGACGGGCCCGAAAGGCAGCGGCGGCACCGCGUCCGAUCCUCGAGCGUAUGGGGCUUUGUCACAUGCUCUGUAGGAUUGGCCGGCGCCUGCCGACGUUUUCCAACCAUUCUUUCCAGGUUGACCUCGGAUCAGGUAGGGAUACCCGCUGAACUUAAGCAUAUCAAUAAGCGGAGGAAAAGAAACCAACCGGGAUUGCCUCAGUAACGGCGAGUGAAGCGGCAAGAGCUCAAAUUUGAAAGCUGGCUCCUUCGGAGUCCGCAUUGUAAUUUGCAGAGGAUGCUUUGGGUGCGGCCCCCGUCUAAGUGCCCUGGAACGGGCCGUCAGAGAGGGUGAGAAUCCCGUCUUGGGCGGGGUGUCCGUGCCCGUGUAAAGCUCCUUCGACGAGUCGAGUUGUUUGGGAAUGCAGCUCUAAAUGGGUGGUAAAUUUCAUCUAAAGCUAAAUACUGGCCGGAGACCGAUAGCGCACAAGUAGAGUGAUCGAAAGAUGAAAAGCACUUUGAAAAGAGAGUUAAACAGCACGUGAAAUUGUUGAAAGGGAAGCGCUUGCGACCAGACUCGCCCGCGGGGUUCAGCCGGCAUUCGUGCCGGUGUACUUCCCCGUGGGCGGGCCAGCGUCGGUUUGGGCGGCCGGUCAAAGGCCCCUGGAAUGUAGUGCCCUCCGGGGCACCUUAUAGCCAGGGGUGCAAUGCGGCCAGCCUGGACCGAGGAACGCG
Molecule: ribosomal RNA, 1110 nt
Filed under: Eurotiales sp. NC1463
Lineage: Eukaryota; Fungi; Ascomycota; Eurotiomycetes; Eurotiales
Description: eukaryotic LSU rRNA
Rfam family: Eukaryotic large subunit ribosomal RNA (bases 516-1110)
Source: RNAcentral